Molecule: ribosomal RNA, 879 nt
Filed under: uncultured bacterium
Lineage: Bacteria
Description: bacterial SSU rRNA
Rfam family: Bacterial small subunit ribosomal RNA
Source: RNAcentral
UUUGAUCCUGGCUCAGGAUGAACGCUAGCGGCAGGCUUAACACAUGCAAGUCGAAGGGCAUCGGGGAGAGUGCCUGCACUCUCCGCCGGCGACUGGCGCACGGGUGAGUAACACGUAUGCAACCUGCCCUCCACAGGGGGACAACCUUCCGAAAGGGAGGCUAAUCCCGCGUAUAUUCCCUGGGGGCAUCCCUGGGGGAGGAAAGGGUUACCGGUGGAGGAUGGGCAUGCGGCGCAUUAGGCAGUAGGCGGGGUAACGGCCCACCUAACCGACGAUGCGUAGGGGUUCUGAGAGGAAGGUCCCCCACACUGGUACUGAGACACGGACCAGACUCCUACGGGAGGCAGCAGUGAGGAAUAUUGGUCAAUGGGCGGGAGCCUGAACCAGCCAAGCCGCGUGAAGGAAGAAGGCGCCAGGCGUCGUAAACUUCUUUUGUCGGGGAACAAAGGGCGCCACGCGUGGCGUUGUGAGUGUACCCGAAGAAAAAGCAUCGGCUAACUCCGUGCCAGCAGCCGCGGUAAUACGGAGGAUGCGAGCGUUAUCCGGAUUUAUUGGGUUUAAAGGGUGCGUAGGCGGUCCGGAAAGUCAGCGGUAAAAGCCCUGGGCUCAACCCCGGCGAGCCGUUGAAACUGUCGGACUAGAGACGGCGAGAAGUACGCGGAAUGCGCGGUGUAGCGGUGAAAUGCAUAGAUAUCGCGCAGAACUCCGAUUGCGAAGGCAGCGUACCGGCGCCGGACUGACGCUGAGGCACGAAAGCGUGGGUAUCGAACAGGAUUAGAUACCCUGGUAGUCCACGCAGUAAACGAUGAAUGCCGGCUGUCCGGGUCCGAGUGAGGGCUGGGUGGCGAAGCGAAAGCGAUAAGCAUCCCACCUGGGGAG